CAGCCGCCGCGGGAAUACGUAGGUGGCAAGCGUUGUCCGGAAUUAUUGGGCGUAAAGCGCGCGCAGGUGGUUUAAUAAGUCUGAUGUGAAAGCCACGGCUCAACCGUGGAGGGUCAUUGGAAACUGUUAAACUUGAGUGCAGGAGAGAAAAGUGGAAUUCCUAGUGUAGCGGUGAAAUGCGUAGAGAUUAGGAGGAACACCAGUGGCGAAGGCGGCUUUUUGGCCUGUAACUGACACUGAGGCGCGAAAGCGUGGGGAGCAAACAGGAUUAGAUACCCCUGUAGUCCCUGUCUCUUAUACA
Molecule: ribosomal RNA, 301 nt
Filed under: uncultured bacterium
Lineage: Bacteria
Description: partial 16S ribosomal RNA
Rfam family: Bacterial small subunit ribosomal RNA
Source: RNAcentral